Non-coding RNA from Picea glauca (white spruce), 121 nucleotides. NCBI's taxonomy places the organism in Eukaryota, Viridiplantae, Streptophyta, Pinopsida, Pinales, Pinaceae. The record is from Rfam.
ACAUGCCUACAACAUAGCGUUAAUGCACCAGAUCCCAUUAAAACUCCACAGUUAAUCACGCUCAGGCUAGAGUUGUACUAGGAUGGGUGACCACCCGGAAAGUUCUAGUAUUUUACAUUCC